CUUGAUGGACGCAAGUCUCUUUUCAGCUAUGUAACUAUGUAACUAGGAAAAAAUGUCUCUUCCACAAUCCUCUAGUCACUGAAAUAAUGAAUGUAAAUUGCUGAGAAUAUUAGUCCACCCUUUGCUUUCAAACAAUAAAGGAAGUUUCAAUGGGUCAUAUCAGUCCGUUUCGUGGAGGGGUGAAUGGACUUGCUAUUUUACUGUCAGCAUUACAUUAACAGUCG
Pelobates cultripes (western spadefoot toad) is the source of this 224-nucleotide non-coding RNA. The record is from the annotation of a GenBank genome assembly. Lineage: Eukaryota; Metazoa; Chordata; Amphibia; Anura; Pelobatidae.